Molecule: long non-coding RNA, 232 nt
Organism: Dipodomys ordii (Ord's kangaroo rat)
Lineage: Eukaryota; Metazoa; Chordata; Mammalia; Rodentia; Heteromyidae
Exons: 3
Source: RefSeq, a predicted model, not a curated record
GGCGGGUCGCUCUUGUCGGCCACCCUGGAGGCCGCUGGUGUUGUCCAGUUCGUGGAGGUCUGGCGCUUUGGCCCAGCAAGAAGUUCCCAGGUAAUGCAAGUGCUGCUCAUAUGGAGAUCAUACAUUGAGAACCAAGGGCUUGAAACAACCCAGAUCUCUUUGGAGAGCUGUUCUUCACUUACUUGUCAGAGAAAAGGGAAAGAUCUCAUUUUGGCAGUGAAUAGAUGUGGUG